UUUCUACUCCCUCCGUCCGAAAAUACUUGUCAUCAAAAUGGAUAAAAAGAGAUGUAUCUAAAACUAAAAUACGUCUAGAAAUAUUUCCUUUUAUCCAUUUUGAUGACAAGUAUUGCGGACGGAGGGAGUAUUUG
Non-coding RNA from Triticum aestivum (bread wheat), 134 nucleotides. NCBI's taxonomy places the organism in Eukaryota, Viridiplantae, Streptophyta, Magnoliopsida, Poales, Poaceae. The record is from Rfam.